RNAcentral lists this ribosomal RNA (253 nucleotides) under uncultured bacterium. RNAcentral's name for it is "partial 16S ribosomal RNA". It matches the Rfam family "Bacterial small subunit ribosomal RNA", at positions 524 to 776 of the family's 1533-position model. The record is from RNAcentral.
UACGUAGGGGGCAAGCGUUGUCCGGAUUUAUUGGGCGUAAAGAGCGUGUAGGCGGCCUGACAGGUCUGCUGUGAAAACUCGAGGCUCAACCUCGAGAUGUCGGCGGAAACCGUCUGGCUAGAGUCCGGAAGAGGAGAGUGGAAUUCCUGGUGUAGCGGUGAAAUGCGUAGAUAUCAGGAGGAACACCUGUGGUGUAGACAGCUUACUGGACCAUUUCUGACGCUGAGACACGAAAGCGUGGGUAGCAAACAGG